This 301-nucleotide ribosomal RNA is filed under the name uncultured bacterium. RNAcentral's name for it is "partial 16S ribosomal RNA". It matches the Rfam family "Bacterial small subunit ribosomal RNA", at positions 509 to 809 of the family's 1533-position model. The record is from RNAcentral.
CAGUAGCCGCGGUAAUACGGAGGGAGCUAGCGUUGUUCGGAAUUACUGGGCGUAAAGCGCGCGUAGGCGGUUACUCAAGUCAGAGGUGAAAGCCCGGGGCUCAACCCCGGAACUGCCUUUGAAACUAGGUGACUAGAAUCUUGGAGAGGUCAGUGGAAUUCCGAGUGUAGAGGUGAAAUUCGUAGAUAUUCGGAAGAACACCAGUGGCGAAGGCGACUGACUGGACAAGUAUUGACGCUGAGGUGCGAAAGCGUGGGGAGCAAACAGGAUUAGAUACCCCGGUAGUCCCUGUCUCUUAUAA